Long non-coding RNA from Mirounga angustirostris (Northern elephant seal), 447 nucleotides. RefSeq lists it as uncharacterized. The transcript has 5 exons. Lineage: Eukaryota; Metazoa; Chordata; Mammalia; Carnivora; Phocidae. The record is from RefSeq and is a predicted model, not a curated record.
CUGAGAAGAGAAAGAAGAGACGCUUGGUUUCUCAGUCUCCUGAGAGAGUGCGACGGUGUGUCGGCUGGCUCCCGUACACCUUUGUGGCACUGUCCGGCCCUCUGGGAAUAGUUGCCAGAGUGUCUGAGAGCUGUUAUCCCAGUUGGAGGAGAAGAAGCCUGGGACAGGAGUGGAGAUUUAUCUUCCCUGGCACACUGCCCCACUUUAGGAACUACAGGAAGAAGGGACACUGCUGAACUGCCUUUCCCAGUUAUCCUUUGUCUAAGUGGGGCCAUCUGACUGGUUCUCCCCUGUGCAAUGUGAGCAAAAGUGAUGUGUCUCUUCUGGGCAGAGACAGAUCCUUUGAUAGUUGGUGAGCAGCUGAAACUACAGACUGUAGACAAGACAGAAGGGAGAAAAGACAUUCAAGCAAAUUAAUAUAACAUCUGGCUCAAAAGGAAGUACUCC